UACGGAGGGUGCGAGCGUUGUCCGGAAUUACUGGGCGUAAAGGGCGCGUAGGCGGCCUUCUAAGUCGAACGUGAAAUCCCCGGGCUCAACCCGGGAACUGCGUCCGAUACUGGAAGGCUUGAAUCCGGGAGAGGGAUGCGGAAUUCCAGGUGUAGCGGUGAAAUGCGUAGAUAUCUGGAGGAACACCGGUGGCGAAGGCGGCAUCCUGGACCGGCAUUGACGCUGAGGCGCGAAAGCCAGGGGAGCAAACGGG
Molecule: ribosomal RNA, 253 nt
Filed under: uncultured bacterium
Lineage: Bacteria
Description: partial 16S ribosomal RNA
Rfam family: Bacterial small subunit ribosomal RNA
Source: RNAcentral